Molecule: ribosomal RNA, 1347 nt
Filed under: uncultured bacterium
Lineage: Bacteria
Description: bacterial SSU rRNA
Rfam family: Bacterial small subunit ribosomal RNA
Source: RNAcentral
GAUUAACGCUGGCGGCGUGCUUAGCCAUGCAAGCCGAACGAUGAAGCCUAGCUUGCUAGGUGGAUUAGUGGCGAACGGGUGAGUAAUACGUGAGUAACCUACCUUUAACUCUGGGAUAAGCCCGGGAAACUGGGUCUAAUACCGGAUACGACCAAUCUCCGCAUGGGGUGUUGGUGGAAAGCGUUAUGUAGUGGUUAUAGAUGGGCUCAGCGGCCUAUCAGCUUGUUGGUGAGGUAACGGCUCACCAAGGCGACGACGGGUAGCCGGCCUGAGAGGGUGACCGGCCACACUGGGACUGAGACACGGCCCAGACUCCUACGGGAGGCAGCAGUGGGGAAUAUUGCACAAUGGGCGCAAGCCUGAUGCAGCGACGCCGCGUGAGGGAUGACGGCCUUCGGGUUGUAAACCUCUGUUAGCAGGGAAGAAGAGAGAUUGACGGUACCUGCAGAGAAAGCGCCGGCUAACUACGUGCCAGCAGCCGCGGUAAUACGUACGGCGCGAGCGUUGUCCGGAAUUAUUGGGCGUAAAGAGCUUGUAGGCGGUUUGUCGCGUCUGCUGUGAAAGGCCGGGGCUUAACUCCGUGUAUUGCAGUGGGUACGGGCAGACUAGAGUGCAGUAGGGGAGACUGGAAUUCCUGGUGUAGCGGUGGAAUGCGCAGAUAUCAGGAGGAACACCGAUGGCGAAGGCAGGUCUCUGGGCUGUAACUGACGCGGAGAAGCGAAAGCAUGGGGAGCGAACAGGAUUAGAUACCCUGGUAGUCCAUGCCGUAAACGUUGGGCACUAGGUGUGGGGGACAUUCCACGUUUUCCGCGCCGUAGCUAACGCAUUAAGUGCCCCGCCUGGGGAGUACGGCCGCAAGGCUAAAACUCAAAGAAAUUGACGGGGGCCCGCACAAGCGGCGGAGCAUGCGGAUUAAUUCGAUGCAACGCGAAGAACCUUACCAAGGCUUGACAUAUACUGGACCGCAUCAGAGAUGGUGUUUCCCUUCGGGGCUGGUAUACAGGUGGUGCAUGGUUGUCGUCAGCUCGUGUCGUGAGAUGUUGGGUUAAGUCCCGCAACGAGCGCAACCCUCGUUCUAUGUUGCCAGCACGUUAUGGUGGGGACUCAUAGGAGACUGCCGGGGUCAACUCGGAGGAAGGUGGGGAUGACGUCAAAUCAUCAUGCCCCUUAUGUCUUGGGCUUCACGCAUGCUACAAUGGCCGGUACAGAGGGUUGCGAUACUGUGAGGUGGAGCUAAUCCCUAAAAGCCGGUCUCAGUUCGGAUUGGGGUCUGCAACUCGACCCCAUGAAGUCGGAGUCGCUAGUAAUCGCAGAUCAGCAACGCUGCGGAAAUACGUUCCCGGGCCU